RNAcentral lists this transfer RNA (85 nucleotides) under Felis catus (domestic cat). It matches the Rfam family "tRNA". Rfam says of the family: Transfer RNA (tRNA) molecules are approximately 80 nucleotides in length. Lineage: Eukaryota; Metazoa; Chordata; Mammalia; Carnivora; Felidae. The record is from Rfam by way of RNAcentral.
GCCUGGGUGGCUCAGUCGGUUAAGCGUCUGACUUCGGCUCAGGUCAUGAUCUCGUGGUUCGCGGGUUCGAGCCCCGCGUCGGGCU